This 497-nucleotide ribosomal RNA is filed under the name uncultured bacterium. RNAcentral describes it as "partial 16S ribosomal RNA". It matches the Rfam family "Bacterial small subunit ribosomal RNA", at positions 28 to 507 of the family's 1533-position model. The record is from RNAcentral.
GAUGAACGCUGGCGGCGUGCCUAAUACAUGCAAGUCGAGCGAACGGACGAGAAGCUUGCUUCUCUGAUGUUAGCGGCGGACGGGUGAGUAACACGUGGAUAACCUACCUAUAAGACUGGGAUAACUUCGGGAAACCGGCGCUAAUACCGGAUAAUAUCUUGCACCGCAUGGUUCAAAAGUGAAAGACGGUCUUGCUGUCACUUAUAGCUGGAUACGGGCUGCAUUAGCUAGUUGGUAAGGUCACGGCUUACCACGGCAAGUAUGCAUAGACGACCUGAUGGGGUGAUCGGCCACACUGGAACUGAGACACGGUCCAGACUCCUACGGGAGGCAGCAGUAGGGAAUCUUACGCAAUGGGCGAAAGCCUGACGGAGCAACGCCGCGUGAGUGAUGAAGGUCUUCGGAUCGUAAAACUCGGUUAUUAGGGGAGAACAUAUGUGUAAGUAACUGUGCACAUCUUGACGGUACCUAAUCAGAAAGCCACGGCUAACUACGUG